CUUGGAUUCUGGAGUCAGUGAGGCCUGGACUGAAUUCUGACUCUGCCACUUAUAACCAUGAGGUCUCAGCUACAAUCUGGUGUGACAGUAACCUGGGGCCUGAGAGCCUGUCACCAAAAGGACAGCACAUAAACAAGCACAGCCAUUCGAAAGCAUCUUCCAGAGUCAGCACCCAGCCUCUGAAGACAGAGGGAGCUCCUGCCACAGAGGGGCCCCACUGCCCUGCCUUUCACACCUGGCCUCCCAGCCGUCCUGCUUCCCACCACGUCCAAGCCGGAUUCUCCAGUCUUCCUGCUGAUCCUCCUGAGCCUCAGAUACAUUUCCAGGAAAGUUCUUUUUGCUCAAGCGAGCUAGAAUAUACUUCUGUUGCUUGUAUUUCAAGGAUCUGGCUGGCGCACUCUACGCCUUCUGCACGCCUUGAUGACUGCGUGGAGGAAGUUUCUUUUAAUAAAUGUUUUCUGUGUUUGUCUCCA
Molecule: non-coding RNA, 473 nt
Organism: Equus caballus (horse)
Lineage: Eukaryota; Metazoa; Chordata; Mammalia; Perissodactyla; Equidae
Source: RefSeq, a predicted model, not a curated record